UAAGCGGAGGAAAAGAAACUAACUAGGAUUCCCUUAGUAACGGCGAGUGAACCGGGAUGAGCUCAAAUUUAAAAUCUGGCGUCUUUCAGGCGUCCGAGUUGUAAUCUAUAGAGGCGUUUUCCGCGCCGGACCGCGUCCAAGUCUCUUGGAAUAGAGUAUCAAAGAGGGUGACAAUCCCGUACUUGACGCGACAACCGGUGCUCUGUGAUACGUUCUCAAUGAGUCGAGUUGUUUGGGAAUGCAGCUCUAAAUGGGUGGUAAAUUCCAUCUAAGGCUAAAUAUUGGCGAGAGACCGAUAGCGAACAAGUACCGUGAGGAAAGAUGAAAAGCACUUUGGAAAGAGAGUUAAACAGCACGUGAAAUUGUUAAAAGGGAAACGAUUGAAGUCAGUCGUGUGAAAGGUAUUCAGCCGUCUCUGGCGGUGUAUUUGCCUUUCACGGGUCAACAUCAGUUUGAUCCGGUAGAAAAAGGCGGGAGGAAGGUGGCACCCUCGGGUGUGUUAUAGCCUCCUGUCAUAUGUGCCGGACCAGACUGAGGAACGCAGCUUGCCGCAAGCCGGGGUUCGCCCACGUACAAGCUUAGGAUGUUGACAUAAUGGCUUUAAACGACCCGUCUUGAAACACG
RNAcentral lists this ribosomal RNA (624 nucleotides) under Vishniacozyma victoriae. RNAcentral describes it as "eukaryotic LSU rRNA". It matches the Rfam family "Eukaryotic large subunit ribosomal RNA", at positions 47 to 663 of the family's 3401-position model. The record is from RNAcentral. Lineage: Eukaryota; Fungi; Basidiomycota; Tremellomycetes; Tremellales; Bulleribasidiaceae.